This 425-nucleotide ribosomal RNA is filed under the name uncultured bacterium. Its description in RNAcentral is "partial 16S ribosomal RNA". It matches the Rfam family "Bacterial small subunit ribosomal RNA", at positions 354 to 796 of the family's 1533-position model. The record is from RNAcentral.
GUGGGGAAUAUUGGGCAAUGGGCGAAAGCCUGACCCAGCAACGCCGCGUGAAGGAAGAAGGUUUUCGGAUCGUAAACUUCUAUCCUUGGUGAAGAUAAUGACGAUAGCCAAGAAGGAAGCCCCGGCUAACUACGUGCCAGCAGCCGCGGUAAUACGUAGGGGGCAAGCGUUGUCCGGAAUGAUUGGGCGUAAAGGGCGCGUAGGCGGCCCGGUAAGUCUGAAGUGAAAGUCCUGCUUUUAAGGUGGGAAUUGCUUUGGAUACUGUCGGGCUCGAGUGAAGGAGAGGUAAGCGGAAUUCACGGUGUAGCGGUGAAAUGCGUAGAGAUCGGGAGGAACACCAGUGGCGAAGGCGGCUUACUGGACUGUAACUGACGCUGAGGCGCGAAAGUGUGGGGAGCAAACAGGAUUAGAAACCCGAGUAGUCC